This 66-nucleotide transfer RNA is filed under the name Magicicada septendecula (seventeen-year cicada). RNAcentral describes it as "tRNA-Asp". RNAcentral also lists the same sequence under 1 other name. Lineage: Eukaryota; Metazoa; Arthropoda; Insecta; Hemiptera; Cicadidae. The record is from RNAcentral.
GAAAAGUUAGUUUAUUAUAAAAACAUCAAUCUGUCAGAUUCAAGAAACUAAGAAUGGUAUUUUUCU